This is a small nuclear RNA of Erpetoichthys calabaricus (reedfish), 173 nucleotides long. Its record names the gene U1. It matches the Rfam family "U1 spliceosomal RNA". Rfam says of the family: U1 is a small nuclear RNA (snRNA) component of the spliceosome (involved in pre-mRNA splicing). Its 5' end forms complementary base pairs with the 5' splice junction, thus defining the 5' donor site of an intron. Lineage: Eukaryota; Metazoa; Chordata; Cladistia; Polypteriformes; Polypteridae. The record is from Ensembl.
ACCUGGCAGAGGAGAUACUGUACCACGAUCACUAAGGUGGUUUUUCCCAGGGUGAGGUUCAUCCAUUGCACUCCGGAAGUGUUGACCCCUGCGAUUUCUCCAAAUGCUGGAAACUCAACUGCAGAAUUUGUGGUAGCGAGGGAACAUGUCUUUGGCUUGAGAUAUCGCUCUUA